RNAcentral lists this transfer RNA (71 nucleotides) under Cyclotella cryptica. RNAcentral's name for it is "tRNA-Cys". It matches the Rfam family "tRNA". Rfam says of the family: Transfer RNA (tRNA) molecules are approximately 80 nucleotides in length. Their secondary structure includes four short double-helical elements and three loops (D, anti-codon, and T loops). Lineage: Eukaryota; Bacillariophyta; Thalassiosirophyceae; Thalassiosirales; Thalassiosiraceae. RNAcentral also lists the same sequence under 6 other names. The record is from RNAcentral.
GGCGGUAUGGCCAAGUGGUAAGGCAGUGGAUUGCAAAUUCUCGAUCCCCAGUUCGAAUCUGGGUGCCGCCU